This 432-nucleotide unclassified non-coding RNA is filed under the name soil metagenome. Its description in RNAcentral is "partial contains 5.8S ribosomal RNA, internal transcribed spacer 2, and large subunit ribosomal RNA". The stretch from base 1 to 120 matches the Rfam family "5.8S ribosomal RNA", at positions 35 to 154 of the family's 154-position model. The record is from RNAcentral.
GAUGAAGAACGCAGCGAAAUGCGAUACGUAAUGUGAAUUGCAGAAUUCAGUGAAUCAUCGAAUCUUUGAACGCAUAUUGCGCUCUCUGGUAUUCCGGAGGGCAUGCUUGUUUGAGUAUCAGUAAACACCUCAACUUCCAUAUCUUUUUUGAAAUGGGAGUUGGACUUGAGUGAUCCCAACGCUUUUCCUCACCGAAAAGUGGCGGGUUACUUGAAAUGCAGGUGCAGCUGGACUUUUCUCUGAGCUAUAAGCAUAUCUAUUUAGUCUGCCUAAAAAACAGAUUAUUACCUUUGCUGCAGCUAACAUAAAGGAGAUUAGUUCUUGUGCUGACUGAUGCAGGAUUCACAAAGACGGCUUCGGCCGACUUUGUAAACUCGAUCUCAAAUCAAGUAAGACUACCCGCUGAACUUAAGCAUAUCAAUAAGCGGAGGA